CAGUGUCUUUGAUCAAACCAACUUCUUCGGAAGUGAAAGAUUUGGGAGAUUUUCUGACGGGGAGGAUUACGGAGGCAAGUGAAGAACUUCCUACCGAAGAGCCUUCCCGAAGUGAUCCUCCUGCCUCCGACUCAGCAACUACCCCCCUUCAGAAUGAUGAGCCUGAAGCCGACGAGCCUCUCAUUCCUGAAGAAGUCCUCCGACCUCGCCAAAAGAAGAAAGCUGC
RNAcentral lists this long non-coding RNA (226 nucleotides) under Panax ginseng (ginseng). RNAcentral's name for it is "long non-coding RNA (PGIN_LNC009865)". The record is from RNAcentral. Lineage: Eukaryota; Viridiplantae; Streptophyta; Magnoliopsida; Apiales; Araliaceae.